UGAUUCUGAGUCACCGCAGGGUUGAAGACUAUUUGUGUAAUUCUCACAAUUUUUGACUCAGGAAUAUUACUCCAUCUUCUCCAGAAGAUGAAAGUGAAGUUCAUGUCUUGAGGGGACUAGAACCCAGGUCUAUACUUUCUGGUUCCUUAGUUUUUUUCCGUUUAACACAACUUGCCCGGAGGGCUGAAGUCUUGGGUUUAGAGUAGAUAAGCGCGGUUCUUCCAAGUGUAUUCCACUUUAUCCUCUGAGUGUUCCAUGAGAAACCAAGGAAUAUAUUUGCCGGCAGCAGGGUGUAUGGAAAAGAGCACAGGGAUUUGCACUGCAGUGCUUUUCAUGUUGGUUAAUUGCGUGACUUAUGGGCAUGCCACCUUGCUAAGCCUCAGUUUCUCAUUUCCAUAAUGGGAAUGGCAAACAAUAUCUCAAAUUGCAUAGGAAUAUGAAAUGAGAAAAAAAUCUAUACAGUAGUGAAACGAGUGCCUGGAACAUAGUAGUAGUGUACGAACCGUUCACAGUACUGAACAAACAGCAAUUCUUUUUGCUAUGUUUAUGGCUACUAAUAGCUUUCUCUUUGCCAGACCAUGGCAUUUAUCCCGUUUUGCAAUCCUUUCCCCUUUUCUGUAAACAAAAGAAAGUAGUGACUGGGGAGAUGGCACUAGAGGUGGGAUAGAGUCAAAGAUUAUAAUGAAUCACGCAGAAUCUCUCUCACACCUAGUGUAAGAUGCAUAAUUUCUAUACACGGGGCUUGAUGGGAAAAUGAGGUUGGAGCAGGGGAUGUGUCGGGAAGCUGCAUUUCUGCCUAUCAAACCCUCUAUUUUUUCUCAGAUGGAGACGGGUGGGGGAGGUGAAGGUCCCUCCCAGAGAUGACACCACUACCUAAGCAUCACACUACCUUGGCCUCACUUGGAUAAGCACAUUUGUCUGGUGUAAUCCUAGGAGCUGCUAGACAUAGACAAGUACUUUCAUCACUUGAACGGUGAGCUUCAGUGUUAGAGUUGCUCUAUUUAUACUUUGCUCUGCAAGCAAUCCUGAUGCUUUUACAUAAGUGGCAAGCUCCACUACCUUAGCAAACAAGUAAAUAAGGUGAUAAACAGUACUCUCUUUUCCGUAGGGGCGUGUGAUGAAUUCCCAAGCCAGCUUCACUUCCCAUUAUUCUGGCCAACUUACCUAUUUUAAAUCACUUGAAAUGACAGUGGGUUUUAUUGUUUUCCCCUCUCAAAGCCGGGCCUUGAUAUGACAGUUAAUUUGCAAACACAUGGGAGCUGGCUGGGUGACAGGCAGGGCAAGGGAUGGCGAAGUGGGCUGGUUCAACUCUCGCAACGUAAUUGCUCAAACUUAGCCUUGCUGGGUCUAUUCAGCACUUCUGUGAUUACAUACUGUUCCAAGACUCAAGAAGAUGAAGGUUUGGAAGCAUUGCAUACCAUGUGUAUUUUCUCGGCAUUGCAAACUUCUCUGGUUUCAAGGGUCAGCUUUCUGAUCCAUGCAGAAUUAAAACAGAGGCUUGGGAAAUCAGAGAUUGCAUGGGGGAGCCACACACCUGCUCAGGCACAGGAAAGGCCUGGAAUGUCAAGGCACUUGAGCAUAAUCUGGUUUCUGUAUACAGACCUGGAUCCUUCCUCCACAGAUGAGGCAGUUACAGACACUUAGGAUUCUGGAAAAUACCUGGAUGCUCCUACCCUACCCCUUCUACUCUGAGGGCAGAGGAGAACCAACAGUAUAGGUAUUAGACUGAUUUACAUUUUGUUUCCUUCUUCGAGAUGAAGUGGAAGCACUCUUGAUUAAUGUGUCCACACUUGAAUGUCCAUAAAAGUAGCAAAUGCUGGCGUCCAGCUGUUAAUGAAUGAUCUAAAAGAUUACUUGGUAGCUUUUAGUAUAAUCCUGAAAUUAGUUAAUGGAAGUGCCACUAAUGAACAUCUAUUAAUAGAGGCAACUGAUGUUAACACUGCUAAUGUAACGGCCAGGAGGUGUAAUAAAACGUGUGGACAGAGCAAACCUAAUACUGUUCUAUAUCAAAGUAGCUCCCUUGAAAAAUGUAAAGCCAGGUAAUGAUUACAACUAGGAAGCAUUUUAACAACAGGGUCAUUGCUGGCAGGGCUCACCAUCGAGUUUUAAAUAGAGUAGCGGACAGCUAAUACUUUGAGACCUUCAUUCUCUGUGGGACCUUUCUUGAUUACUCUUACUGGGUGUCAAAGCUCUGAUUAUUUCUCUGAACUCUUAUUACAUAACAAGGAGCUUUUUAAUUUGAUAUUUAAGUUUCUUUAUGGUUCUUUGUCUUAUGGGUGUUGUAAAUUAUGAGCAAUAGAAACCAGGGACUCUCUAUCCAUAAUAGGACGGCUUUUUGUUUUUAAUUUUUUUAAUGUUUUAUUUAUUUUUGAGAGCGAGAGACAGAGUGUGAGUGGGGGAGGGGCAGAGAGAGAGGAGACACAGAAUCUGAAGCAGGCUCCAGGUUCUGAGCUGUCAGCACAGAGCCCGAUGCGGGGCUUGAACUCAUGAACUGUGAGAUCAUGACCUGAGCUGAAGUCUGACGUUUAAUCGAUGAGCCACCCAGGUGCCCCAAGGAUGUUUUUCAUCUCACCCGGGGCUGAGUCCCAUCCUCUGUGACCUCUUAGAGUGUUUUGUUUCUUUAUAUCCUAAUCAUACCAAUGUGCAAAAAAAGAACCAUUAAUUUCUCUCCUUUACGAGGUUCUUUGGAAUUAGGCAUUCUGUCUUGUAUCUCUGAUUCCCUACCUCCGGCACCAGGCUCUGCAACAAUGCCAGGGCAGUGCUGAUUAUUGUGGCCAAAGAGAUAAUUGUGUCGUUUGGACUCAGUUUGUGCCUUUGUCUUAGGAAACUCAGAAAACAAGGGGCUGCUCCCUGCCUUCCAAGGGCUCACAGUCUAGACAUACUUAUGUAGAAUUCAGCUCAUCCUGGGAAAUGAAUUCCCGCAAGAGGAAAUGCACUUAGCAUAUGUGUAGUGUGUGCUGAAAAUUGCUUUUUUCUUUCCAAAUGAAAUCAUUUAUUUCAUUAAAAAAAAAAAAACAAUUUCCCUUGAUUACUGCCCUUCGUAAAUAAAAUUAUCGUCAAGGCCCUGACACAGCUCUCUGCUAUGAAAUACAGAACUCCUGAAAGUCAGUUAUUCUCCACCUCAUCGCGUCUCAGUGUAAAGGAUACCCACGCUCUAGUAUCACACACGUGAGAGCUUUUCUUUCUUCCCGCAGUAGAUAUUAGCGUUCACUCUGCCUAUGCGCAGAUGACAUACACAGCUACGCCUCCGUGGGAAUUCACGUACAUAGAAGCAGCAAGAUGGAGCUAGUUUUAGCUUUGGGGGCCACAGGAUGAUGUGGAAAAGCCUGCCGUCUACACCGGCGUGGCACUGGAAUGACAGCCAAAUGGAAGCAGCUGCAGCCUCCUGAGAAACAAAGCUGGAGAAUUUGACAGCAGAAGCAAGCGGCUGCAGCCCAAAUCCCCGGGUGUCAAGAGCCCUGCUGUGGGGCCUGGCGAAGGCAGUCGUGGAUUGGCACCACUGAAAUCAUGGGUUUCGCUAAAUGGCUUGCCUUUUAUGAACCUUUGAGAAAGGGAAAGCAAGUGUUCUCUCGUGUAUUCAAGCCGUUAUUUGUUGAAAGGCUACUGUGGGUCCGUCACGAUUCAUUUCAUAAUGGUUAUAUGCUAAAAUGCUCACAUGUUAAUAAAUUGUAUUUAUUUUUUAAUGUUUAUUUAUUUUGAGAGAGAGAGAGAGAGAGAGCAUGCUUGUGAGCAGAGGAGGGGCAGAGAGAGAGAGAGAGAGAGGGAGAGAGAGAAUCCCAAGCAAGCUCCCUGCUGUCAGCGCAGAACCUGACGUGGGGCUCAAUCUCAUGAACCCUGAGAUCACGACCUGAGCCAAAAUCAAGAGUUGGACACUUAACUGACUUAGCCACUCAGGCACCCCAAAUUGUAUUUAUUUUUAUACGUAAUCUAAUAACCAUAAUCAUGAUGCUGACUGAUUUCAACCUUUCAUUUUGACUAUGUACUAAAAAGCUGGUUACCUGGCUGCUAUUCACAUAUAAACCGAAUUUCUUCUGUGUGCAAUUAACAUGGAUAAAACUUGAGUAGAAAAGGUGCCAAUUAGAGACAGCUAAUGACCUCUGACCCCACUGAGAUGCAUGAAUACCAUUUUCCAAAUUAUAAAAAAAUAGAAAAAUAACAAUGCAGUUCAGAAAAAUAUAUUUUCCCAUAAAUAAAGAUAAUUUGUAUUGAAGAACACAACUUGGGAACUAAUUAAACAGAGAAAACACUUCAAACGAUUGCCAGAGAAACCCCUUAAUUCUUUUCAAAGUAGAACCUGUCCUCGUAUUUCUCUCUCUCGUACUCUCUAUGCGGCUACAACACUUCAUUUGUUUAGUCAAUCAAGAGUUGACAUUAUCUGCAAGAUGCUCUGCUGACAACUCUCCCAAAUACUUCUAGAUCAUUCUAUUCCCACAGCACUGCACCACUGUUGUUGAUGUGCUCCAUCUCCAUGUCCUUUCCUGGAAGGGACUGUGAUCUUCUGAGCAUCACCCGAUGACUAUGCUUUUCUAAAAAUGCUUUGGAAACAGCCCGGCAGCAUUUAUGUUGUGUGUCAUACACAUUAUCUCUUUACCCCAUUGUAUUUUGUGCUUGGUUCCUUAAGGAGCAGUUAUUCGUGUGUAAAAGAAAGACUGUUAGGAAGGAAACAGUAUGUAGGUUGAAGCUACGAAUGACGUACAUCUACAAGAGUCAAGUUACUAAUGACCAUGACGUUGGUACAAAAAGCUGGGUUAGUUCCUGUCUCACUAGAUGGAUUCAGAUACUUUUGUGGUGGUGGUGUUGAUCUGUGAAAAGCCCAACCAAAACUCAGAACUAAGGUCUAGGAAGAUGAACUGAUUUUUUAAAAUACAAGUUCCAAAUCUGGCGCUACAACUUCAGCUACCAUAUAUCUCUAUAUCCCCAGUUUGCGGCCUUUGUGCAGACUCCAGGCUCAAGGAGAAGCCACUGUAUUAUGAGAAGGCUUUGUGAGCUUAUGGCUUACGUGAGCCCCAGCCGGUCCAGAGACAUUAUGGGUUCCCCUCAAGAUUAAGCUUUUGUAGGUUUGCCUUGGUUCCUCAGUUCUGUAUACAAAUCCUCAGCUCCAGACAAACCCUGGGCACUUGCGCCUUCUUGCUGUUCUUACUUUGUGCCUUUCCCGCUUCUUGGAAUGCUCUGACCCUCAUUACUUCAUUCAAGUUCCCUUAACGCACAUUCUAGAGGAUGGCUUUCAUCCUAACAACUCAGGCAUUACAUCUGAGGUCAGAUGAGAAGCACUACUUAGCUCUACACUGUAAAACAAGAUAAACACUUGCCCUUACCUGUUUUACAAUCUUAGUUCGACAAAGGAGAUGGUUACAAUUUUCCAUCUCAGCUUUUACUUGAUUGCUAAAAGGAUGCAGGAACACAGUAUGCAUGGUUCGGUAAAUGGGAAGUGUUUAUGUAUUGUUCAAUUUUCCGUUAAAAUUAUAAUUAAUUGAAUGUUGUUUAGAAUUAAUGAGCCUAGGCAGAUAUUUCAUAUAAAAUGUAAUGCAAAUUUUGUAUGUAAAUCAACGUCUGCUCUUUACCAUAUUUACUUUACAGCCUGCACGAACAAGAGCUAAUAGUACGUUUGUCAACAAAUUAAAAGGAUGACUUUUUUUUUUUUGCUCUCCAUUUAGAAGAGCCCUUUCGUCUUUGUUUGAAAGCUUCCUUCAUGUGGGAGGAAGUUUUCCCUUUGCCGAUACCUGCUGCCAUAUAUGUGGAAGGCAGAAAUGAUGGAUAUGGCUGACAGCAGUUUAAAACAAACCUGUCUCGAUGUACCAGCAGUUAAAUGCUCAGACUGUAUCACCAAACUAAGAGGGAAGGGAGAAAUCAAGCCUGACCUUUAACACCUUUCUCAAGCCUUGCUCGAUUCUCUGAACGGGCCCCAUCACUGCUUGCUAAAAUCUUCCUGGUCUGCUUUGUCUUAGGACACACCAUAAGGAAUACUCAGUAUUUCCACAAGAAUAGUAAAUGCCACAUAUGCAAGAGAGGUACUACUUCUUGGCAGUUUUUUCUUUUAUUCUGAACUGAAAAAGGUAGUAUGCGAAAAUAAGGCAAAAUUCAAGUUAGAUUUUGAAGAGUUUCAUAUCCAUAUCCGUAUAAGAAAUAGAAAAUAUCCAUCACCCUUUUGGCAUUAACAUCAAAUUUUGGUGAGUAUACCUGAUAUACAUCUACAAAUCUUCUUUUUUUUAUUUUUUUAACGCUUAUUUAUUUUUGAGAGAAAGAGACAGAGCAUGAGUGGGAGAGGGACAGAGAGAGAGGGAGACACAGAAUCAGAAGCAGACUCCAGGCUCUGAGCUGUCAGAACAGAGCCCAACGCAGGGCUUGAACUCACGAGCGGUGAGAUCAUGACCUGACCUGAGUGGACUCUUAACUGACUGAGCCACCCAGGUGCCCACAUCUACAGAUCUUUUUGAUGGCUCAGGACUCCAAACCUUCCCACUUAUUUUCAUAGGUGACACUUUGGAGGAGUGACUAUUUCUCUCAAAAUGGUUGUAUCGGGCUAUAUUUUCAUCCCCUUGUUUUUUCUUCUUGAUUUGAGGUCAAAAUACCCAUUCUUUUCUUCAAAUGGGUUUUCCCAUCUAUGGUGGUGAAUCCAGAACUCUUACUUUUCUCUGAAAAUUAAUUCUUCUGCAGAGCUCCUUACACGGAUCUCCUCCCCUGAGCUUUGGGCAAUUACAUUCUCUCAUGUCUUUCACAUAAAUCUCACUUAGAAGACAAACCCCUCAGGUUAAACUGCUGUUGGGUGUGUGCAUUUCUCAUGGAGAGCCAACAACACCUACAUCCACAGCAGCCACCUUCACCGCUACCUGUGAAAGCAUCUUACUUUGGGAACCUAUUUUCUUUUUUCAGCAUUCUUGUUUGAAUGUGAAUCCAGCCCAGGACAGGGACACUGGAGUCAGGCUGGCCACCCCCGGACUCUGGCCUGGGACACCUAUGAUGUGGGGAGGCACUGGACUAGGAACUAGAGGGGUGUGGUCAACAAGAGGGAGAUGAAGUUUCUGAGAUGAAGAAGCCUACAAUCUAAUAGAAUGAGGCCGUGUCCUAAGACAGAACAGGCCAGGAAGGUGUUAGCAGGCAAUGGGUCUGGUUCAAAGAGGAAAGCAAGGCUUGAGAGAGGUGGUAGGUCAUUAAAAGUCAAGUAGACAAAGGGUGAGAAUCUACUUAGGAGUUUGUGGAAGCAGAAACCCGGAGGAGACCUUGGAUAUGAUCCAAAAGACUGUGCUCUUUUGGACCUUUAAUUCUGUCUGGGCACCUAAGUCACUGGAUGGUCAUUAAAGGCAAAGAAAAUCAGGGGCAUGUAGGUAGGGAUGUCCACAUUAGGCUGGCACAUAGAUGCUCCAAUUACAGUGUGUUAUUUUAAGAGAAAUGGAACAUGUGAAUGUGGCACAGAUCACUAUUUUUUUGGUCUCCAACUGUUUUCCGUGGAAUGACAAGGUAUAUAUAUUCAUAAUGAUGUGCUGUUUAGACGGCAUCUAUCUACACAGAGAGACUGGAGAUUAGAAGAGUAGGAUUGUAUAGCAAAGGGGGGGGGACUUAAUGCAUAUCUUCGAACUCAAUGGCCUUUGUAGGAGUCCUAAUCACUUUUUGUUACUGUCCAGCUUCCUCUUCUGUUUCACACUAGCAAUACCCCCUAAGAGCUAUGACGUAAAUCUUCCAAAUUCCUUACAACAUUUGCAUAUUCUAGGAAGUUAAGUAUGAGUUUCUGUUAUAUAAAAUAACUCAAAUAUUGUUCAAAGAAUUUCUUUUGUGGACUUUUUUUUCUUCUGGAGGAGAUUAAUGUAUAUUAUUAUCUAUGGAAGCCAUUCUCUCCUAAGAGCAACAAUGUAGGUACUUGGAUGUUGUUUGCUAUGGAACUUACCUUUACAGAGAUAAUUGCAGUAACCUUUCAAACGAACAUAUGCAUAUACCCGAACUUGCACCUGUCACUGUUGCCAUGGAAACGGUUCCAAAACAUAAGAUAUGAUUCUAUUAUUGAGGCCGUAUAGUUUCCCAAAUAAAUCUUAAUGGAAGUGUAACAGGAAAAAAAAAGAAUUUUAUGGAGAAUAAUUUUAAAUUAUGUAGUGAAGUUUGUGACCACAUCUUACUCAAAUCACAUCAGUAACCUUCAUCUGAAUAGGAAGCAACAGUCAGUAAAUGUCAAGCAUACAUAAAGAAACAUAAAGGAGGUUUAUUUUAAGAUAAGUGAAGUGCCCAAAUGCUACCUCUCUAAUGUUCAUCUUCAUCAUUGUUCAUUUUCGAUCACUAUUCCUAUCGUUGGCUGAGGCAUAGCAUUAGCUGUCUGGGUGGCGCAUCCUGAGGUCACGGAGUCAUCUGAUGAUUUUUCCAGUUUCUGGCAUCUUUGGACUUUCUGUUGUUAUGGUAAACAGACUUAGAUCUACAAAGCUUUUAGAGCUGAGAGACCUAAAAGAUGUCUGUUCCAGCCCCUUACUUUGCAGAUGAGGGAACCGAGGUCCAAAAAGAUAAAUGCUUUGUCCAAGGUACAGAAAGAAGUUCAUGUGGCUGAACUAAAACUCAGGUCCCUGACUCUCCUCCCCACACACAAUCAGUGUGCUGCCUUGGGAAUGCUAUCCACAUCCCUGCCAGUUAAAGCUAGUGCAUUCUUUCCUGGAGAGAGGAGUCAAGCUCUGGAAUUGAAUAUCAGGACCUUCACUGCCCACGUAUAUAUUCAAAGGAGCUAGUCCAAUUUGCUAAGUGAAAUAAAAUUUUAACUCCUCCCUGAAAGUAUGUAUCUCCUCACAAAAAUCUAUUGAUUAUGUGGGGAUUACUACUUUGCACCUUAGAAACUGAACUAAUGCCUUAAUAUAAUAAGAGAAGGAAAGUGUUUUCAACCUCUUCUGUACUUUGAUGUCACGUGAAUCAAAUGACCCAGGUUCAUAAUAAAGCCAACUGUGAAAUCAGUGUUCACCUCCAAGUCAAGUGCCUGGGAAACCCAUCGGUGGGGCUUAAUUUAAAGCUAUCUGAUGAUGGUUGGGGUUUCAGUGUAUUAUUUUGAGCACAUAGUUAUGGCAUUAUAUGUGGGGAAAGAAAGCCCUCCUGGUCAUAAAUCAUGACUGGCAAUGGGUUCUCCCAGGGACAGAGAAUACUUAUUAUGUAACUCUCGUUAAGGGUUGAUGGGUGGCCGACUCUGAGCUGAGUCUCUGGCAGAGCCGAGGACUCCCCAAGCUCGAGGAGGCCCCCGAGACAAUGUGUCAUGCAGCGAUGAUGGGUGGAAAAUACUCUCACUGUUCAAGUUGUGAUUGUUUUGGCUUCCUCUGGGGUAGGCUUUUGGCACUUGAACUGGCCCCAAUGUAAGACCGCAGCUGGAAAAUGCCAUUAUUUGGAUUGGUUAAGAGGAGUUUUUGAAUUGAACUCCACUGUAGCAUUAGGGAAGGAAAAACGUUCCUGCCACAUUCCGCAAGUCUCAGAGUAGCCAUCUUCCUACCGUUCAUGUCUCUGCAGAUGAAUGGGAUUAUAAACACUUUUUUGGGGUAUAGAUACACAGGUAUACAAGACGCUCAAAGUUAUGUAAGUCUAGAGUACUAGAGUAAUCCACUCCAUAAAUACGUAUUGAGAACACACGAAGUACCAGGCAUACUGUUCCAGUAUGGACACAUGUAUACACACACACAUGUAGACACGCACGUGUGUCACUUUUAAGACAGACAGUGAAUUCCUUCCUCACAGGCAUUAAAAGACAUAGCAUGAGUAAAGCACAUGGGGUGGAGAAGGCUGCCAUAACUAUUAAUUCCCCUUACACCUUUUCUUCGUCAUCCCCCAGCUUUGGGAUAUCAAUAACCUUCCUGCCCUUCCAAAUUCUGCAAACGACCCUCAACAAGGGAGAGACGGAAGGGUGCGAAAGUGAUCUGUUGUUGGCCCAGUUCAGAGCCUGUGACACCCAGGCUAAACCUUCUGCUUCUAUAAAGGGCGCCCACAGACUCUAGCUUGUUACCUUUCGGGUCUGGAAGGGAUGGGAGUUUUUUCAUCAUGAAUAUCUGCUAAUUUGUCUAAAUGCAGUGAGACCAGACACAUAGACAUAGGUGUGUUUCCUAACAAUAAAAUUAAUACAUUUAUGUUGCUAAAUAUUUGGGGUAGAAAAAAAUAAUUAUGCAUAAUCCUACAAUUCAAGCAAUGUUACCCCAGACAGUUUGGUGUAUUUCCUGUAGCUUGCUACUUGCUCUGGGGCAGACUCCCAAGAAAGGAACACAAUGGCACCAUGUUGUUUCCGUUUUGACUACGUAAUUGCUAUAUACAGCAGCAAUGACUUAUGACUUCCUGAAGCAGAGGAAAAGACGUGUAGUGUGUGAGAGACAGAGAGAAAAAGAGAGAGAGGAAGGUGGGGAGAAAAUGUAUAUGUGAAUAUUGAGGCGCAAUGAGUCUGCUAGAACUGAAAACAUCCGCGGUAUUUAAGUAGGCCUGUCUAGUUCUUUGUAAAUACCAUUGUAGAAAAACAAGCUAAAACCUAAGGGUAAAAAGUCUCCAUUUCAUUCCAUAUUUGCAAAUAAAGCCCAUUCCAUCAACAGUAAAAUUGCUUUGUGUAAUUUGCAAUCUCAUUGUCGUCCUGGCUAUCCCCCCGUCAGGCUGCCUGUGUUUAUGUAGCUUCUCCCCAUGGCACGUGCUCGGAGCAGAAAAUGAUAUAAUUAUAGAUCUCCAUCCACUCACAAGAACAAUGGCUGCGCCCAGCCACUGGACUCUCCCUUCUCGAAGCUCUCCAUAGGAAACAGAAUGGCGCAGCUACUGUUUUGAAUGUCCAAGGCCUAAAAAUGUUAGGAAGACAGCUGCCACAAGUUCUUUGCGCGAGGCGCCUCUUUGAACGUUUACCCUCGCUAUCGCUUUAUUCAUCCUGUCAGGAGCAGACCAAAGACCAGAGGUUUUAAGAUACCCUGCCUAUAAUUACUCAAUAAUAGCAGAAGACCAAGAGGGAUACAACCAUAACGCGGUUCAAGACUUUCUACGCUCGCUUAGAAAAAAAAAAAAAAGGAAGCUAAAUUUGCGUCUCUGAGCAAAGUCAGCCCGGGCCAUUUCAGAACCCUUAGUUUCUACGUAAAGUAGCUAUGAUGCUUUGGAUACUAAGGAAACCCCUAAAUGUUUAGACUAAACUAAGUCAAUACUUACUGGAGUGAUUUCCCACUCAUGAAAAGCAACUGGAAAAAUUUCUCAAGUCUAAGUUUCGCUAUCAAAAUAUUAGUGACAUCAUGGCUUGAGAGUUGGUUUUACCUGUUUUAGACUAAGAAACCCAUUCAAAUGGAGUCUGUGGCCCAUGACCUCACUCCAGGAAAACGAGAAAAGGAAUGCAAAGUGACAUCAGCACCAUAUAUCUUCUGAAGGGUAUUGCACUCCUCCUCUGUGAUGGAUUGGCCUGUGCACUCCAAAUAUAUUCACUGUGGCAAGGGCACCACCUCUGCUGUGCAUUUAGAAUUGAGUAUGUUUUUUCCCCCAGGACAGAUACAAAAUAUUCAGACGGUAUAAGAAUUUCUAUGCUCUAGGACCUCCCCCUGAUAGGUCUACAGAGGAGGAUAAAGAAACAUGUCUAAGACCUCGAGAGGACCACCUGAAUCAGGAACAAUGUAAAAGGAAAAGAGGUAGAAUGGGCACAGCUUGUAGACAGCUUGUGACAUUUCUGAGUAAUUACUGAGUGCAGAAGGUUCUGGAGUUGGAGGGCCAACUCUCCAUCAGCAGCCCGCCUUCUCUGAUACGAAAAAUGAACAUUUGAGCAAUUUAAUGGAAAGCCGUGAAAACGCAGCUGCAAGCAUUACAUUCCAGCUAGAUUGCUUCCUCUAAGCUUUCCUAUUUAGAAAAUUUGAAGUCUUCCAGACCUUCUCCCUAGGAUAUUAGGAAGUAAGCAGAAGCUCUGGAUUCUUGGAUUUAGCAAUGGGAGGUGAAUCAGGAAAGACUCCAUGCAAAUGAAGAGGGCCACAGGAUAACCACCGCCAUUUUGUUUAUUGAGCACCUACUACUACGUGAGUGUCCGUCCUGAACAUUUCACAUCUGUUAUCUCUUAAAUUUCCCAACAACGCUAAGGUAAUGACAGCCUUUCCUGCCAACCUAUGAAACCCAGGCUGGGAGUUGUCCAGUGACUUUUCCUGUAUAAUCUCACCCUAAGGGAAGACGUUACUCUGAUUUUUCCACCUCAUGUUUUUCCCUGGCAAUUGCUGUGAGAGAAUGUUGUUUUUGGAGUUGGGUAGGCAAGUGUUGUGCAUGAUAUGAAAAACCGAAAAGAAAAAAAAAAACAGAGAAAAAAAAUCCGACACAAAGCACUAGUCAAUUUCAGCCCCUCUCCAAAUGAUCAAGGCCUUUUCCUACUGCUGGAUAUUUUGAAACGAACAGGUUUGCCUCAAUUUUCAGCCGGGCUUUUGCUCUUUGUGGAGUGCAACCCCAGCCAGCCUCAGGAGAAUCAGUGAAAGAGGAUCAGUUACACUCUGGAGCAGCCACACGGGGGCACUCCUGAGAUCCUGAGGCGUCUUCCUACUAAGGAAAGAGUUGCUGGAGUCCCAAGUGAUCCCGCGGGUGUUUAACAAAGGGAAGGAAUGUCUAGAGGAUAAGACUCUGUGCACUCACUCUUUGGAAAAUGUCUGCUGUAUAUAUUUGCCAAGUGAUAAGGAAUCUAGUAAAUCCAGUAAAUCAGAGGCCAUUUGAUGAUUUACAGUGUUCAAAGGUAGCUUCCUAGCUCUUGAAAGAAUUAUAAAAAUGGCUAUUUAAAAAUAGGCAACCAAUAUAAUUGAGCAAGCUGAAAUGGGCUAUGAUACAAACCAUAUGUUACGGCCAUGGAAAAUCAAAAUAAAAGUAACUCAGUAUAAAUUGAGAAUCAUUCCCACUUGAAUUGACACAGUUUCAUGGAAGUGGCACACAGCUUGGAAUUCUAACCCUUGUGCUAUUCUAGAUAAGGGAUCUUUCUUCCCAACAUGACACCCUCCUCUUUAGUUUUAAGGGUCUAUUCCUGAUACCCCUUUCUGCCCAACACAUGCUACACUACGUGGUCACACGAAGUGCCUGUAAACGAAGAGAUACGUUCAAGCCAUUUUUAUCUUGUGACAAAAUUAGCAGUAAAAGUAAACAGGAAACAGGAAAUGCCCACCUGGAGAGAAUAAUGUGUAAACCUCAAGUAGAUUGGUGAGAAUUUCUCAAGACAGAGUGCUUGGGAGGACAAUUUAGCAAAGCAUGGAAUUUGACAAGGUAAAACUUCUGCACAUUCUGACUUUAUGCUGUACUCAUCUGUUUGUUUCUGACUAGAAAAGAACCAUUAAUACACAAGGCUCACUGGAACCAUCUAGUUCAGCAGAAUAAACCAAACCAGAGAAAGCAUGUCGUUGCAUUAAUAUUUUCAUUUGAUUUCAUCUUAUUUGUAAAGUUGACUCUUUAAAAAAAAAUCACUUAAUCUUAUAUACACCCCUAUGUUUAUUACAGUAUUGUUUAUAAUAGCCAAAAUGCGGAAGCAACCCAAGUGUCCAUCCACAGACGAAUGGAUAAAGACGUGAGAUAUGUAUCUAUCUGGAAUAUUACUCAGCCCUAAAAACGGAUAAGCUCUUGUCAUUUGUGACAAAAUGGAUAGACCCAGAGGGUAUUAUGUUAAGUGAACUAAGUCACACACAGAGAGAUAAAUGCCGUGUGAUUUCAUUUAUAUGUGGAACCAGAAAGCAAGGAAACAAAAAGCAGAAUCUGACCUAUACAGGCAGAGAACAAACUGAUAGUUGCCAGAAGGGAGGGAGGUGAGGGGACGGGCAAAAUGGGUGAAGGAAAGUAGGAGAUACAGGCUUCCAGUUCCAUUAUGAAUAAAUCACAGGGAUAAAAGACACAGCAUAGGGAAUACAGCCAAUGAUAUCAUAAUGGUGUUGUAUGGUGACAGAUGGUGGCCACACUUGUGAGCACAGCCUAAUGUAUAAACUUAUUGAAUCACUGUUUCACACCUGAAACUAAUGUCACAUUUGUGUGCCAACUACAUUCCAAUUUUAAAAAGUAGAUAAAUCGCUCCUUCCCUGCACUAUUUGCCGCUCUCUUGAGAUGCCUAUUGUGAUAAAUGCAAACAAAUGUUUUACGAUAAUGGCAAAUGUCCCCAAACAGACAUCAUGUCCAGUUUCUAAGCUGCAAUGAUAGCUUACAUUUUAUUAUAAUCUUUAAUAGAACUAUAUAUAAUUAUGUAUUAUGUGUCAGAGAGAUGUUGAUUGUUUUAUAUAUAUUACAUUAUUUUAUUCUCUAAAACCUCUUUUAUAAAUGAGGAAACAUUAAAUGAUGUUUAAAGAGGUCAAGCAACUUGUCCAAGUUGGCACAGUUAGGAAGUAGCUGAACUGGGACUUGACAGGUUUGUCUCAGUGGCCUAUGAUUUUAGUUGUUAUACUAUAUGAUCUAUCUUGGACUAGUUGAUAAAACAGCUCUUUAGUUAACCUCUCUUCUUUUAAGAGUUUUAGCAGAUUUUAAAUAUUUCUUUCCUAGCUAGUCAGUAACUUAAUUUUUAAGCUGCACACAUACACAGACAAGUUCAGAUGAAGAAAAAAAAAAAACACACAAAAAAACCAAACACAGGCUCCAGAUAGACUAUAGUUGCAUUUCUUGCGGAUCCGUGGUUGCACCCACACUACAAGCUCAUGAUACACAUCCCUCCAGACCUGGCUUUAGAAACCCAUUUUGAACAGGGGAAACUUGAAAUAUGCAGACUGCGGUCUUGACUCCCCUUAAGAAUGCCUGCUUUUAUUGGGUUUACCCUGUAAUCCUGCAACUUUUGGCCAGAGUCAAAUAGGGCGACGAUGUUUUUCUACUUGUCUUCUACACAAUCCGGUUCAUUUCAAAAUGCUUCCAACUAGUCCCCACUGCAGACUUUAUUCAUUGCAGUACUCUUCUUGACUUUCAUUAAGCAGAACCUCAGAUCAGAGCAGCGUGGCCCAGACAUUGGGCUGGUCGGUCCACUCAGGAGUCGAUCCUUCUGUGCAUCCACCUUUAAGACCCACCAGUUGAGUGUGUUGUGUUUCCAACACUGCAUUCCAAAGAGACCUUUUAUAAGGAAAAGUGGCUGCUGUUUAAUUCAUUUCAGAAAGUAGAUGGUGAACCCUUAUUGCUUUGAUCUGCUUUCACACUAAGUCCGUUUGUUCAUGGGAGGUUUGCAUUCUCUUCAACAUAAAAUUUGUUUAAAAAAAAUCCGACUCCUUGUUCCUGGGCUUCCAUAAUGACGUUUGAGAGAACUUUGUUUAAUUCGGUUUUAAUUCUGUCCCUUUCAAGGAAAAUGGUCAGAUGCGACCAGGACAUGGAAACAUGAUCUUGCUGUCAGUGCCUAACAAAGCUUGCAGUCUAACAGACUUCUAUUAACAAACAAACAAACAAAAACAAACAAACAGAGCUUUUUCCAUUAUUGCCUCAUAUUCUUCCUUCUUUCCCCACAUUUUCUGAAAUGUAAUUUCUAACGGGUGGGAAACAGUCAUUUUAGUGUGAAAACUUGCUAGAGUGGAAAGGCCAUUGUGUACUUCCUGUAGACUAAAACGCCAGAGGAGAAUUUGCCAAGGAGAAUCCUUGGCAGAAGGGGGGAGGUGGUACCUUGGAAUCAACUCUUAACUAUGUGAAGGCUUUGGGUCUUGGUGAAUUUUCCAAGCAUGGGGUAUUGGCUUUCUGGAGGCUGGACUGAAGAAGUCUACUGCCCCCUGAGAGCAUGCCAGGGGCACUGCUUAGCUGAGGCCCACCAUUGUACUGACCAGUCAACUAGGCCACAUCCAGAAGGGCUUUGCUUCACAUCACUUGACAGGUGAUUGAAAAUGCUUAAUGUCAGAAUACAGAAGAAGCCUGACCAAAGCAACUUUAGAACACAGCAAAGAUGUGUGGACUUGUGUAUGUGUGUGUUUGGUAUGUGUGUGGUGGGUGUGUGUAUGUGUAUAGAGAUGGGUCUGAGGCAUGGAUUUUAUUAAUGUGAUUAUUUAAAUAGACUCUCCCAAAUGCAAGAGCAGCAGAUGUUGCCACAAAAAUGAAGAAAAAAGGCUCGGGGCAUAUAUGUCACAUUAACUAUAUUGGACAGCAUUCAAAUGAUAAACAUUUUAAUCACUCCAGGUUAUAGUUCUGCUUUAGAUUUUGUUAAUAUGUUAAUAGAAAAAUGCAAAUUUACACAUCGGAUUCUAAUAAAUAUGCAUAAAUAAUUAGAUUUUACAAGAGAAAAGGACCUUAGGGAUUAUCUCCUCCAGUCCUCGUGUUAAAGGUGAGGUCAAGACUUUCACCAGACUGCAGAGAAGUUCAGUGCCUUGCUAAAGGUCUUACAGGUAAUUAAGGGCAGAACUGUGAUUGAAAUAUAGACUCUCUGACUCCAGGUUUAGUGCUGCCUCCUCUAUCACCUGUAAUAGAUUCAGAGGCAAAAACAUAAACUUGUGUCUGCUAUGCUCAAUUCCCAACAAAAUGUUGCAAUGAUAUUUUGUGUCUAUUUCCUGCCUUGAAGCUUGAUGGAAGGUAGUGAUUCUGAGUUCAUUAAAACAGAUGGCUUGACUUUUUUUAAACCUUAGUUCUCUAUCACACUGAAACUAUUUCUAGAAUUUAAAAAAAUCACUUUUUAGGGGAUAAGUGAAUUUAAAAAUUCAGUGUUUGAGGACAUUAAGGCAUAUUAAGCAAACUAAAUACUCCAGAUUGUAUAUUAAACAUCAAGUACCAACUAUAGGGUGCAUUUUUCCAUAGUCAUUUGAAAUUUAUUUUAAGGUUUUCCUAUUGAGAUCCUAUUGGGGGAGAUAAUAAGAUAUGUCAGGUUUUGUUUUGUUUUCUCCCUAGGUUUAAUAAGUCUCCUGUGAGUGACAUAUAGCUGGGAAUAAAUGGAUUACAUUUGUAACCAAAUUAAGGUGAUGGUAGACAGGAAGAAGCCAGAAUAUGACCUACUGCUUAUUGAUAGAGAAGAUGUAGCUGGAAUCUUGAGAAUCUUAGGUCAUUUUUGGCUUUGAAAUUGUUGUAUUAUUUGUUCACUGUAAAGUAACGUUUUGCCCAUAAACAAUUUCAAAACAAACAAAUAAGUCUACACCCAAUGAUGUCUUCUGUGGAUGAUUCCCCAUCCACCAGGGGCAAAAUGGAUUUUUAUUUCUAGGGACAUUCGGUGAGAACAGGAUGAGCCGAAGAUGGGGUAAGCCUGCCAAAUGUCACAGGACUGUGUCCUUGAGCCCUUUGUGUCCUGCUGCAAUACCUUCUAGGAAACAAACUGAUGAAAACCUAAUUCCACAAAACGAUAUCGCUCUGGAGAUGGUAUUAUGGCUCCUUCCAAUUUUCUUCAUGAUCUUACAGGCAGGUGAAUAAGAAGUUUAUUUAAUAAAACAAUGACUUGCUGAAGGAGACCAAGCUAAGAGCUGCAUGUCACCGUGACAACUAAACAGAUGGAUUCAUUUGGUGUGGCCCCUCUCAGGGCUGCCAUUAGCCCAUCAGGAAGGUCUCCAUUACAAUGCUGACCAAAUGGAAAACAGGCCUGUUGAUCUACAAAUGCCCCUACAGUCUUGAAAGUAGUUCUCUCAAAACCUUUUGAAAUAAAUAGAAUACCAGUUACAAAAUUGUAAGUACCUUUACUUGGGAUGAGUGCUGAAAAACAAAACAAUGUGUCCCAUGACAUCAGUGGUUUUCAAAAUUCAGUGUCUGUAUGAUUCAUUCGCAUAAUUUACCAUGUUUCACAUUUUCAAAAGCUUUCGUGCUUCUCAGGUAAGUGGGGAAGCCUGGGCCUUUCCCUGCCAGUCUCCAUCAAGGUGGUAAGAGGGAUGGGGUGCCUGGGUGGCUCAGUCAGUUGAGCAUCUGACUCUUGAUUUCAGCUCAGGUCAUGAUCUCACAGUUUGUGAGUUCGAGCCCUGCAUUGGGAUCUGUGCUGACAGUGUGGAGACUGCUUGGGAUUCUCUCUCUCUCUCUCUCUCUCUCUCUGUCUCUGUCUCUCCCCUGCUCACUCUCUCUCUCAAAAAUAAAUAAAUAAACUUUAAAAAAAAGGUGGUAGGAGGGAAAGGAGGUGCUGACUUUUCCAUUUCCCACCCUGAGAAGCAUUAUUCUCCAUGAAUCCUCAAGAAAUAUCCAUGCUUUCCAAUAUCCAUGGAAAUAUCCAUGCUUUGAAGAACUUUUUUUUAAGAAAUUUUUAAUUUAAAGUUGGGAAUAUUACCAUUGUUUUGUUUCUCAGGUUGUAUGGUAGUAAAAAUUGCCAAAGAAUCAUUUAAAUAGUGAGAGUACUGACAAACUAUAAUGUAUUAUGUGGCUCAAAAUGCUUCCUGAUCUGAUUAGCUACCAAGACCUUAUUUAAGACAAGGAAGGGUGGAGACUUCACUGGAAAUGACUCAUGGAUGUUCAAUUUGUGGAUUUUAUUUGUGGAAAAAAAAGUAUUUUGAUAAGUAGAGAUAGCUGUUUCAAAGAAAAGUGUUGAGGCUCUAUUAAGAAGUACACAUUCAAAUCUAUUAAUCUAGAUAUCUAGUCUCAAAACGUGUAUGUAUGUGUGCAUGUGUGUGUGUGUGUGUGACAUUUUUAAAGUAAUUUAAACAAAGCCAUUGUUUCAUACCCUGAAUUAACAACCCAUGAAACAAUUCCCUAAUUGUUAAAUGGAUAUUGUGAUGAAUAUUAAAAAUGUUAGCAGAAUAAAAAUUGUCUGGAAAUACAGAGAAUCGUGUCUUAGGUAUUGCUUUAUUAUUAGGGGGGAAGACAUUUAGUAUGGUGUAAGGAGAAUAUAUUUUUGGAAUUAGGUUGAGUUAAAGUUCUUGUCUUAUCCAUAGGUGGCAUUAGACAAAUCACUUAACAUCUUGCAGUUCCCUUUCUUGAUCUAGAAAAUGAGAAUAGCAUAUGCAUUAUGAAGAGAUUGUAAGUACUAACUGGAUAAAACAAUCUAGGACAUGCUUGGCAAAUAAUCGGUGCUUAACAUCACUCUCAUUAAAGUUGGUGAUUAUUAACUGGCACUUUACAAUUAAAAUACUCUGGACAAAAAUAAAUAAAUAAGAAUGACUGGUCCAAUUAAUCUUUUCAAUAGAGGUACAGACAGAAUAUAUAUUUUAUAUUUUUUUAAUGUUUAUUUAUUUGUAGAGAGAGAGAGCAUGAUAAGGGGAGCAGAGGAGAGAGAGAGGGAGAGAGAGAGAAUGCCAAGCAUUCUCAGGCUCAAGCAGAGACUGAUGUGGGGCUUGAACUCAUGAACCGUAAGAUCAUGAUCUGGGCCGAAAACAAGAGUCCGACACUUAAUCGACUAAGCCACCAGGCACCCCUGGAAUAUUUUUUGGGUCACCAUUGCAGUGAUUUGCUACUGAAGAAACCUUCUUUCUCCUCACCAAGUCUCUAUGGCCCGUAUUUAAUUUGGGAUUUGGAGAAGGACAGGUGGGAUGUUUUCCCAGAGUACUUCAGUGCUAUAUAGCUGAAAAAAAACCGUAAGUAUGUUAAAUGCAAAAAAGUGCCUAUGAAUAUUCAGUAGUUCCGCUAAUGGGAUCAUAGAACUAAGGGAGGUAGGAGUUUGAUUCCCACUCGGGCCUUUUAGUUUUCUUGGCUUCUCAGCCUCUGGCCCCCACAGGCCAUUGCCAUGAAGGUAUCAAGCAGCAGCAUGUGUAUGGAUCUACAGAACCUCCUGAAAUUACAGAGCAGAGUUCAAUGUUAGCAAGUUGUAAUAAAGAAGACAUGUUUUGUUCAAUAAUCAUACUGAAGGUUUUGCUUCAGAGACCCCGCUAAAAUACGGGAUGUCUGAAUGGCAUACUACUAAAAUAUUAGGGUGCGAAAAUCAUUCUUCUUUUUUUUAGACUGCAUUUAAAAAACUCACUACAAAAGCUCAGUGUGUGAGGUGGAUAAGCUUCAGACAAAGGAAAAACCAAACCUGCUAGUCAGCGGUACAAAAAAAUGUCAACUUCUACUUCAUGUUGCCAAAGAGACCGGGUAAACAGACUUAAACAAAGAGAAGUGGCUGUCUUGGCAAGAAGGCUAAUGUGGAAAACCUCUUCAUUGUUGUAUGGCAUGCUUCUUUUCAGAAGAGCAGACAGGGAGAGAGGAAAAACAAGAAUAGAAGCAUCUUUCUUCCAAAGAGGGGCAUCUGCGUCCCUGAGAGAUGAACUUAGCCGCCCAGGGACGACAUCUUAGUAAAUCACUUGGAAACAAAGCUUGAAAGGCCUAUGGAUUGUCUCACGAUUCCCUCACUACUUUACCCUCUGUUCUUUGAUCAGCUGUGUGAGGAAGUGGUCUCAUAGGAGAUCUUUUUAUUCAAGCUUUCAGCCUGUGUUUACUCUGUGUUUUCCAGGCAGGGCAAUGCCUGGAAGUUGGGGGAGAGGGUGAGUAACGGAGUCUGUCUGACUGAUGAAGGUCACCAUUUAACAAGUAAAUACAGAGUUAAGUCUCAUCUGACUUACAUCUCUUUCCUCUUAGAAGUUUAUCCAAUCCAACCACAUAGCCAGAUGCCAUUAUUUCCCCCACAUUAGCUUCAACACAUACGAGGCAUUACAGAUAAAUGCAAUGGCGUUUCAAGUGAUCCCAUUCCUCAAGAUAUUUACAGUACAUGGUAUAGAAAAAUGCUCUCAUUAUAGGCUUUGGUGAGAAAAAUGUUGUGUUUUUACACCACCAUAUAUGCAGUAUGAUUAUACAUCUGUAAAGCUCUUCAGCAAACGAUAAGUCAACAGUGAUCAUUAAUGAUGGAUACAAAAACUAGAGGUUACUGUUUUCUUCCUUCUAUUAAUGUCUGUCUCCAAAUUUUCUAGAAUAUGUCCAUAUAAGAAUUUAUAAUUUAUUAAUGUGAAUCUGGUUUCAGAUGUUGAACUUUGUGGUUUAUUCUUUCAUGCAGUUUGAGGCGAGCACAAUGAAGUUUGCCAAAACCAAGAUAUAAUGAAACAGUUCUUUCUACAUCUGCAAGUUUGUUUGCAAGUUUUUUAAAAAAGAAAAUGCCUUUCUUUUAAUGUGUGUCUUCAAACCCGUCACCAUAGAAGUUGCUUGUUUUGAAAGGGAAUAAAAUAAGAUUGCAAACCAGCUCUAACUUCAUUGGGAAGCUUCCACCUAAGCAGAAGGCAAAUGUUAGCACUGGUUGGCACAGUUCUACAGAUAAAUUCGGAUACACUGAGAAGUACUGCAGGGGACCUCCUUCCAGGGAUGCCAGGCCAAUGAGACAGACGUAAGGUGCUAAUAUUACGAUUUUGUAGAGAGUCCACCGGCAGUCUCUAACUUAGAUGUCUGGGUUGCUAAGUGUUGAAGUGGACCCUGGAGGUCACGUAAAAUACCUUUUCAACUAAUGAGAGAAUUCCUGUCUAUGAUACUUCUGGCUGAGGUUCUGAACUGGAACGCUUCCAAGGAUGGGGGUGAGGCAGCCUUCUGCAUUACAAACACCUGAAAAGCCUAAAGUUUGGGUCUUUGCUGUCUGCAACAGCCCCUCCUACCCUGUCCCGACAUCAAGAUCCACUCAAGGAUCUUCUACAGGUAACCACAGUCUUUGAAACAAAGUGGCUCAUUUUAUAUAUCUGGACCCUUUCAGGCAACAAAGCGAGAUACUGAAAGGGGUGGAAUUACCCAACGGAGUCACAGAUGGAAAUAUAGUUUGGUGAAGAAACAGGAAGCAAUAGAAAUGGAAGGACUCCCAUAUAUUUUUCUUUACAGUCUAAAUAUGCUGCACACAUGAAGACUGCAACAGAUCCAGAUCAAAAUGGCCCUUGCUGUGCUUUGGGAAAUCUGGGCUGUGAAGAUCUUCUGCAGUAGAAAGGGUGGUUCUAUCACGCUACCUGGAAGGCCAGUCUGGGGUGUGCUCACUGGAUGUGUUGAGAUCAAUUACCCACAAGUCCCCACGGAGCCUCUCUUCGACAAUGUCUGUUCCUUACACGUUAUCUUCUAGCCGACAGCAAAAACAUGCCAGCUCAUCCUUACUUCGUGGACACUGUGGCUUUAAAGGGCAGAAACCUGCAGCUCCCAAAACAGUCUAGUGAAGUCAACUCAUAUCAAGAAUGAAACGUUUCUGAAUUGCAAACUCUGGAGAGCACCGAAUGCCAUAUUGAGAAGUUGGAUGAGGAAAAUAAAGAAUUGGAAAUACUAGACGUUUGGAUAUUGGUUGCAGCUUUUUAGGAUUAUCUCUGGCCCAUGUAAAUUGCAAAAGCAGAUGUGAACAUUGACAGUGUAAACUCGACUAAAAUACUACUCUAAAUAUGAAUGUCUGCUAUUAUAAAAGAAUCUACUGAUAAUAAAACCUGAGGAAAUAAACAAUUAGAAAAUAGCAGGUUAUUUUCUCUUCCUUAAAAGUCCUGAAAUUUUAAUUUCACCAUGCAUGGUCACAGGAUAAAACAUCUGUUCUAAUGGAAAAAUAACAAAAAUCCCUUUCUGAAAAGCCCCACAGAGAAUUUUUCACAUGAGUAGAUGGAAAUAUGUAUUCCAUUUUUAGAUAACUACUCUUUCUUGAUGCAAAAAAUUUGGUGGUUAAAAAACACAAAUAUAUCACAUUUGCCUUCAAUCACGAAAGCCUAAUAAGCACCAGAGUUGCAAAACCGUCAUGCUUAAUGAACUCAUUCAUUUAUUCAUUCUUUCCUUUCGAGAAGUGAAUGACAUCCAGGCACUGGGAAGGCUGAAAUAAAACAAUUAAUCCCUGCUCUUAGGAGUUCACACUUUAGCCGGGAAAGUCAAACCCCAACCCCAAUUAAAAGAUGAUGUCAUUAGCCCUGAGAUAGAGAUACACACAGGAGUGACUUGAGAAGGGACAAGGAAUCCAGAUCAGCAGUAUCCGGAAAAGCUCCUAAGAAGAGGUGACAUCUGAAUGGUGCCUUUGAAAGCGCUAUGAAGACAGCCAGGCAGAGAUUCUCUAGACAAGGAGGAAUGAUUUAUGCAAAAUCAUUGAUGGGUAAAAAUGCACCAAUCAAUCUCAUACACAGCACCUGAGCGUGUUGCCUAUAUUUCUGUUAGCAUGAAUCUUACGCCUAUUUUUAUGGGCUUUUAUGUCGCCCUUGGCAAGCAGUAUACUCUUAGAAAUGGGCCGAUCCAUUCCCGUGCUUCCUAUUUUGUCUUGCACUUACAACUCGUCAGCAUAGGUUCGAUGCAAUGAAAAAAUGAAUUACUGUGAGGUUUAAUAAGAUCAUUUGUGAAACAUACACUUCACCAAAACGUCCACAGAACCACUCAUUAACAAGGGCAACUCUUGGGGUUUUGCAAACAUGGCCCCCUUCCCAGGGCAGGGGCAAGGGAAAGUCUCUAGUCUUUUCAAAGAAUCUCAUCCCCAAGGCAUUUUUGUGGUCAUGUGGAAAAAGGGUCUGGGAAAUGUGCUCUCAGAUGGCAUGGCUGGAAUGAGGAAUGGGAACAGUUUUGCCUUCUACACAGUUUCUGGAAAAGGCAAUAAGAACAAAAAAAAGCAUCAGUGUGGGUCAGCAUUCUCGGUGCCUGAGUUGAAAGGUGCUAUAAACAGGGGCGAGUCUGAUAGACCAUCUCCACCCCGGCCCCAUGCCAAGAAUAGCUACAGGGUGGCAACUCAAAUCAGGGCUGGUGAGCUCUGUCUCACGACUUUGGAGUCCCAACCAGCAUCUGGGAAAGUCGCUCUGAAGAGACAGCCACCUUCCCGGGCACAACGAGCGUCGUGCCCAGGUCCCACACAGAAAGACGUUCAUCUCAGAGCAGAAACAGGGCUCCGCUCCCUUCAGGCAACUUACAAAAUAAAGCUUUAAGUAUGGGGAGCUGGGAAUUUCUGGAAAGAGGGAGGCCUAUCAUCUAAACCUGAGUUCUUUUUUUAAAGCAAGUAAAGCAGAGAACAGCAAUUAUUUCCAUGCCAGUUCUCAGGGGAAUUGCUGUAGCCAGAAUCAGCUAAUGAUGGUUAUUAAAGGUAAAUGUUCCCUGAUCCUCAGGAAGUGAUUUUUCAUCCUGGUGCUUUUGAGGCUUUGUCUGCACUUGAAUCCUGGGUAGAAGAAAGCCCUCCUGGAUUCAUCCUAAUCUAAUACUCAAAGUGGGUGAUUCGCAGGAGUCUGUUUCUUCUUCUAAAUAUUGUGGUAAUGGGAGAUUCACUCUUGGCUUCGACUCUUCACCCCAGCAAUAGAAGAGUACAGCUUUAAGACUAGAACUGGUACAUCUGCUUAUUCCCUUUUAUUUACUUUUUUUUUUUAAUUUUUUUUUAACGUUUAUUUACUUUUGAGACAGAGAGAGACAGAGCAUGAACGAGGGAGGGUCAGAGAGAGAGGGAGACACAGAAUCUGAAACAGGCUCCAGGCUCUGAGCAGUCAGCACAGAGCCUGACGCGGGGCUCGAACUCACAGACCGCGAGAUCGUGACCUGAGCCGAAGUCGGACGCUUAACCGACUGAGCCACCCAGGCGCCCCUGCUUUUUCCCUUUUAACAACAAAAUAAUAAAAUGCAACAAAAUGCCACUGUUUCUGUUUUUUCUUUUUUCCUUCUUCAUCUUCUAGGGUAUUUACCUUUCUUACCUAAUUCAGAAGCAUGCUGGGAAGUCUAACUACAUCUGAAAGGGGAUGUUCUGUAAAUCCUUAAGAUCGGAGUAGUAACAGGGAGUCAUUUCUAAUCCGGGAUAAACUCCACUAAUCGGCUUUCUUACCCCAGGUACAAAACACAGUAAAGCCAACCAACAUUUGGAAGAGGAAGGAAGAGCUGUUAUAGUUGCCCAGUGAAGUCCUUUUCACACUCAGCAGAGGGCAAAUACUAUUUCCUCCGUAUCUCUAUGCUAGCCAGAACAUCGCGUAUCAUGUCGUCAGCAAGCAUGCUGCUUCCUGAAAUGCAAAGGCUGUCUACUUUUGAAGUUUGUGUGUGUACGUUUGUUCGUGCACUCAGGCACAUGCAGGCUGCUAAACUUAUUACUACCCAAGAUUAAGAAGC
Molecule: long non-coding RNA, 24699 nt
Organism: Acinonyx jubatus (cheetah)
Lineage: Eukaryota; Metazoa; Chordata; Mammalia; Carnivora; Felidae
Exons: 6
Source: RefSeq, a predicted model, not a curated record